This 284-nucleotide unclassified non-coding RNA is filed under the name plant metagenome. RNAcentral describes it as "partial contains small subunit ribosomal RNA, internal transcribed spacer 1, and 5.8S ribosomal RNA". The stretch from base 1 to 53 matches the Rfam family "Eukaryotic small subunit ribosomal RNA", at positions 1778 to 1831 of the family's 1831-position model. The record is from RNAcentral.
GGAAGUAAAAGCGUAAAAAGGUUUCCGUAGGUGAACCUGCGGAAGGAUCCUUAUUGUAUAACCGAGGUGCGAGGGCUGUCGCUGACCCGAAAGGUCGUGCACGCCCGAGUGCCCUCACACACAUCCAUCUCACCCCUAUGUGCACCACCGCGUGGGUCCCCCUUUGGCUUGUUCGGAGGGGGGCUUACGUUUUCACACAAACUUUGUAUGCAGUGUAGAAUGUAUUUUUUGUUUUUGCGAUCACGCAAUCAAUACAACUUUCAACAACGGAUCUCUUGGCUCUC